AUUGAACGCUGGCGGCAGGCCUAACACAUGCAAGUCGAACGAGUGGCGGACGGGUGAGUAAUGUCUGGGAAUCUGGCUUAUGGAGGGGGAUAACUACGGGAAACUGUCGCUAAUACCGCGUACCAUCGGAUGUGCCCAAGUGGGAUUAGGUAGUUGGUGGGGUAAUGGCCAACCAAGCCGACGAUCCCUAGCUGGUCUGAGAGGAUGACCGGCCAAACGGGAACUGGACCACGGCCAGGAUCCCAACGGGGGGAGGCAGUGGGGAAUAUUGCGAAAUGGGGGCAGCCUGGACGCAGCAAGGCCGGGGGGUGGAGGAGGGCUUUCGAGUUGUAAAGUUCGUUGGGAGAGGAGGCGUUAAUCACAGAGGAAGCACCGGCUAACUCCGUGCCAGCAGCCGCGGUAAUUC
This 406-nucleotide ribosomal RNA is filed under the name uncultured bacterium. Its description in RNAcentral is "partial 16S ribosomal RNA". It matches the Rfam family "Bacterial small subunit ribosomal RNA", at positions 29 to 526 of the family's 1533-position model. The record is from RNAcentral.